RNAcentral lists this long non-coding RNA (317 nucleotides) under Elaeis guineensis (African oil palm). RNAcentral describes it as "long non-coding RNA (EGUI_LNC056319)". Lineage: Eukaryota; Viridiplantae; Streptophyta; Magnoliopsida; Arecales; Arecaceae. The record is from RNAcentral.
GGUGGGACUUCUUGGGUUUUCUAGUUUCAAUUUUGUGAGAGAGAAAAAUAAAAGAAGUUUUGUUCUUCUUCUUCCACACCAUCUCUUCCUUGACAAGCUCCAUCUUCUAAUCUAGAGGUAUCCAUUUGAUCUGAAGAAAGGAGUCUCCAUCAGCCAUCUAGAGUCUUCAUCACAAGCUAGUACUCCCAGGAAGGAUGAUCUGUUCAGGGCUUCAAGUGGACUACCUGUAGAGGCCGGACGUGCUGUACGGCUGCUCAACAUUAAGAAGAAACUCCUACCAUAUUUAUCAGUAGUAAUGAUCGUCGACCAAUGAUCAG